Molecule: non-coding RNA, 20 nt
Filed under: Arabidopsis thaliana (thale cress)
Lineage: Eukaryota; Viridiplantae; Streptophyta; Magnoliopsida; Brassicales; Brassicaceae
Source: RNAcentral
UGUUGGGCUUGUGAGAUAGA